CACGCUGCAGGGAGGGAAAGCCCAGUCAGGUUCCGGCAGACUCCCUGAGCUGAGGAGACGGAACUGAGAAUCCAGGAAGACUAAGGCAGCAACCCCGUCAGAGGAAAGAGUUCUGAGAAGGCUCAGAGGUGGUAGCUGCUUCUUGCAGUUGCAAAAUUCAUACUACGUCAGUGUUUUCUGUUUACCUUUCCAGUUCAUUUAAACAGAGUCCGCCAUUCUUUAUGUAUCAGACUUUCUGUUAAAAUAACUGGUUCCUGCCUCCUGGCCAGCUCCAACUGGUACAGCAUAGAAAAUAACAGAGAAAAAUCCUUUCAAGUAUGUAUGUUGAUAAUAUCACAGAAUGAAGAUGUGAGAGGAAUCUUAAAGGUCAUUUGGUCUGGAGGUCAACAAACUAAGGCCUGUAGAUGAAUUCUGGCCUCCUAUUUUUGUAAAUAAAGUUUCACUGGAACACA
This is a long non-coding RNA of Suricata suricatta (meerkat), 452 nucleotides long. RefSeq lists it as uncharacterized. Lineage: Eukaryota; Metazoa; Chordata; Mammalia; Carnivora; Herpestidae. The transcript has 2 exons. The record is from RefSeq and is a predicted model, not a curated record.